UCUACGUCGGCGACCGGCGCACGGGUGCGUAACGCGUAUGCAACCUACCCAUUACAGGGGGAUAACACUGAGAAGUCGGUACUAAUACCCCAUAACAUCCAGGGAGGCAUCUUCUUGGGUUGAAAACUCCGGUGGUAAUGGAUGGGCAUGCGUUGUAUUAGUUAGUUGGUGGGGUAACGGCUCACCAAGACAACGAUACAUAGGGGGACUGAGAGGUUAACCCCCCACAUUGGUACUGAGACACGGACCAAACUCCUACGGAAGGCAGCAG
RNAcentral lists this ribosomal RNA (271 nucleotides) under uncultured bacterium. RNAcentral's name for it is "partial 16S ribosomal RNA". It matches the Rfam family "Bacterial small subunit ribosomal RNA", at positions 82 to 354 of the family's 1533-position model. The record is from RNAcentral.